AGAGUUUGAUCCUGGCUCAGAGCGAACGCUGGCGGCAGGCUUAACACAUGCAAGUCGAACGCCCCGCAAGGGGAGUGGCGCAAGGGUGAGUAAUGCGUGGGAAUCUGCCUCAAGGUACGGAAUAACUGCUGGAAACGGCAGCUAAUACCGUAUGUGCUCCACGGAGCAAAGCUUCGGCGCCUUGAGAUGAGCCCACGUCCGAUUAGCUAGUUGGUAGGGUAACGGCCUACCAAGGCGACGAUCGGUAGCUGGUCUGAGAGGAUGGUCAGCCACACUGGGACUGAGAUACGGCCCAGACUCCUACGGGAGGCAGCAGUGGGGAAUAUUGGACAAUGGGCGCAAGCCUGAUCCAGCCAUGCCGCGUGAGUGAAGAAGGCCUUAGGGUUGUAAAGCUCUUUCAGCGGGGACGAUGAUGACGGUACCCGCAGAAGAAGCCCCGGCUAACUCCGUGCCAGCAGCCGCGGUAAUACGGAGGGGGCUAGCGCUGCUCGGAAUUACUGGGCGUAAAGGGCGCGUAGGCGGCUUUGUAAGUCAGGCGUGAAAGCCCCGGGCUCAACCCGGGAAUUGCGCUUGGGACUGCAGAGCUCGAGGUCGGGAGAGGGUAGUGGAAUUCCCAGUGUAGAGGUGAAAUUCGUAGAUAUUGGGAAGAACACCAGUGGCGAAGGCGGCUACCUGGACCGAAUCUGACGCUGAGGCGCGAAAGCGUGGGGAGCAAACAGGAUUAGAUACCCUGGUAGUCC
This 740-nucleotide ribosomal RNA is filed under the name uncultured bacterium. RNAcentral's name for it is "bacterial SSU rRNA". It matches the Rfam family "Bacterial small subunit ribosomal RNA", at positions 8 to 796 of the family's 1533-position model. The record is from RNAcentral.